Molecule: non-coding RNA, 69 nt
Organism: Podarcis lilfordi (Lilford's wall lizard)
Lineage: Eukaryota; Metazoa; Chordata; Lepidosauria; Squamata; Lacertidae
Source: the annotation of a GenBank genome assembly
GGAUAGCUCAGUCAGCAGAGCACAAAACUCUUAAUCUCAGGGUUGUGGGUUUGAGUCCCGCAUUGAACA